GAUGAACGCUGGCGGCGUGCUUAACACAUGCAAGUCGAACGGUGAAGGAGGAGCUUGCUCUUCUGGAUCAGUGGCGAACGGGUGAGUAACACGUGAGCAAUCUGCCCUUGACUCUGGGAUAACAGUUGGAAACAGCUGCUAAUACCGGAUACGAGACGUGACCGCAUGGUCAACGUCUGGAAAGAACUUCGGUCAAGGAUGAGCUCACGGCCUAUCAGCUAGUUGGUGAGGUAAUGGCUCACCAAGGCGACGACGGGUAGCCGGCCUGAGAGGGUGACCGGCCACACUGGGACUGAGAUACGGCCCAGACUCCUACGGGAGGCAGCAGUUGGGAAUCUUAGGCAAUGGACGAAAGUCUGACCUAGCGACGCCGCGUGAGGGAAGAAGGCCUUCGGGUUGUAAACCUCUGUCAUGGGGGAAGAAGUAAGUGACGGUACCCCAAGAGGAAGCCCCUGCUAACUACGUG
Molecule: ribosomal RNA, 466 nt
Filed under: uncultured bacterium
Lineage: Bacteria
Description: bacterial SSU rRNA
Rfam family: Bacterial small subunit ribosomal RNA
Source: RNAcentral